UAGAUUUAUUCUUACACAGUAUGAGUAAUAUCUCCAUUUCAAUAAUAAAAUCUUACACAAUAUGAAGCAGUAUUCACUUUUUAU
This is a small RNA of Listeria monocytogenes EGD-e, 84 nucleotides long. It matches the Rfam family "Listeria sRNA rli34". Lineage: Bacteria; Bacillati; Bacillota; Bacilli; Caryophanales; Listeriaceae. The record is from Rfam.